ACUUGAUUCUCCUUCUCCAACCUACUCCCAAAAAUCGCAUUUCUGACUACAGCAUUUGAAUAGUUUUCCUUUGUUAUCGGUCUCUCUCUCCACCUCGAAGCACUUCUGGAAUCCACUCUUGCAAACGGGGCAACGACGCUUACUUCGGCAUUCAUCAAACAAGUGUCCCUUCGAUCUGCAAUUAUGACAAAUUCCGAAAUUCUUUCCUCCCAUUCUACAACCACAAUCAACCACCCAAAUUAUUGACCAUUAGUGUUUUGCAUGAACGUAAUGAGUGGAGAGGACUGACCAUUGUUAUAAACUCAAUUUAAUGCUAUUGAAAAAGUUGAAAUUC
RNAcentral lists this long non-coding RNA (334 nucleotides) under Olea europaea (common olive). RNAcentral describes it as "long non-coding RNA (OEUR_LNC009027)". The record is from RNAcentral. Lineage: Eukaryota; Viridiplantae; Streptophyta; Magnoliopsida; Lamiales; Oleaceae.